AUGCAAUAUAUAUGCCCCAGCCUUGAAACAAGAGCUGCCUGGCAGAGGCAGUGCAGUACAUUGGAAGCAUUGUUUUAUUGCUGCCUCGCUGCUGGGAUCGCUGAGCGCUCCCAAAAACCGCCUGGCGCUGCUGCUGUUCUGCUCCAGCGGGACGCAGGAUGCUGCGGGGGGUGGCCGCAUGCUGCCUCUGCUCACUGCGGAGCAGCAGCUCGAGCAAAUGCUAAAGGACUGGAAAUAGCAGUUAAUAAAGGAAUGGAAACAUCAGGCUAUCCGAGGAUGCAUUUUUCAAAGUAGUAAAGAGGAGGACCUUAUACUUUUCUCACUUCACUUGCAAGUGGCAGUACAGCAGGGUUUGCAGAAUCUACAGCAAUCAACAUCUUUGCUUAAUGGAGAGAUUUUGCUUCCCCUUUGUUGCAUGUGUUUUUGAGAAACAUCUGUAAGGACUGGGAAGAGAGUAAAAAUAUAUUACUGAUAAUUCAUGUCAGCAUUAUCCAGAGAAGAGAAUUGGGCACCAAUAGGCAACAGGGGUAUCUGUCCGUAUAAUUCAUUGUCAACAUGAACCUCGUGCAGUCAGAAAAUGUCUUUCUUGUUUAACUGGAGCCUCUAAUUACAGUCUAACUACUAUCAGGAGUUGGGACAUGGGUAGCAAUGAAAACAUUGCCCAAAUUCCUUAGGGAAGGUCUGGUGGAUUUUGUUCCUCAGCUCCUGUCCUUCAGUGAGAAAUCUUCAGCCACAGCUUCAGGGCAUUAUAUGCCAGAAAAUUAGGAAGGAGUCAGACCAAAGAAAUGUCCAAAGGUGCCUCAAGCCCAGUAUUUUGCCUCUAGCAACUGAGAAAGUUGACACCUGGGAAUGAAUGUGAGAAUGAAGCAAGCACAGAUUUUCCCUCAGCGUUUCCCCAGCUUCCACCAAUGUGCACAUCAAGGAUUGCAGACGUGUUAGACACUGUGUUCUUAUAUUUAUCAGCCUGCAGUGGAUUUCACUUUCAUGAACUCGUACAGUUGUAUUUUGAGCACACGCUAAGAUACCAUAUUGAAGGAGACAAACCUUCACAUUGGUAAAAGUUACCGCCCUGCUGGCUAUGACUAUGAUGGCAAAUUCUGCUUUGUUUUGAAAAUUUCACGUUAAGCUGUCCACCACUUUCUCAACUUAUCAUAGGGAAGAGCUAUUGCUAUGAAAUGUUAGGGAUAACAUGAAGCAGAAGAAUUUCAGAAAAUCAGAAGAGUAAGAAAAGCUUUCCUGUGAAAAACUCACAUAUUUUCCUAUUGAACAGGAUCAAGAGUUCCAGAAAACUAAC
RNAcentral lists this long non-coding RNA (1294 nucleotides) under Anas platyrhynchos platyrhynchos (common mallard). RNAcentral describes it as "lncRNA (ENSAPLG00000030875.1)". Lineage: Eukaryota; Metazoa; Chordata; Aves; Anseriformes; Anatidae. The record is from RNAcentral.